This 28-nucleotide small RNA is filed under the name Bombyx mori (domestic silkworm). Its description in RNAcentral is "ovarian small RNA-32620". The record is from RNAcentral. Lineage: Eukaryota; Metazoa; Arthropoda; Insecta; Lepidoptera; Bombycidae.
UGAUCAUGCACUACGUCCCGCCUGACGA